CUCAUUGUCCCCGCCCCUUGCUCUGUUUUCUUCCAGCUGCCGGACCAGCGGGCCUGCCGCCUCUACGGACCAGUCCCUGCUCAGGCGUGCACACCGAGCGGCGGGGCGCUGUGGAACGCGGGAGCGGACUAGCGGAGGAGGAUGCGGACCAAGCCCCAGCGACCCAGGGCAACUCGGAGCUACCUCGGGCAGCCCUGCGGGUCUCCGAGGAGAACCGAGGAGACGGGAGAAACAUGGGAGAGGGUGGCCUUUUCCCUGUUCACACACACAUGCACGCAGCCACUGGCCGGGACAGUUGACACCCAUCUUCCUUCCCUGCUCCUUCCAGUCAUUCUACACCCGCUUGGUGCUGCCAGUGCGGGCAGGGCCUUGGAGCCCAAAGCGGAUCCCCACACUUGUCCCUACGGUCGGAAGGAAAGUAGAGGAGAGAAAGUCAGGCGCGGCAGGGCUAAGAGCAAUAGUGGCCCAAAUGUUCCUGGCCCGCCUGCUGCGCCACAGAGUCUGAAAAGCGGGUCUCCGUCUACCAGAAGGUGACCUCCACACAGCCCCUCUCCCCGACCAACUGCAGCACCCAAGGACUGGCAACGUGGUUGGAGCUUUUGGGGGGAAUUAUGAAGAAAUCUGAAUAAAUUUCUCACCCUUCAUGUUUCCUGUUUUAUUUCCAAAGUCCUUCAGUAUCAGGUUUUUCCUAUUUCCUCAAUUGGACCACGGGUCCAAUAAAAGGUUUAAAAUACACACACACACACACACACACACACACACACACAAAGAAAACAAAAACAAAAAAAAAAGUUUAGGGAGCUGGGAGAUGAAGCCAAAAGAAAUGUUUUGGAGACAAGGAUUAGAUUAAAGCUCAAACUUGAAAAUCAAUUUUGAGUAAGAGACUGAUUGUGCUGCAGCGUGACUUUGAUGUGGACUGCACGGAAUAGAAACACACACUAGAUACCUCUGUGGAGGCCUAGCAAAAGGAGCAGACGCAGGGUGUGUCCCACCAAGAUAGGGAGGCUGCCACUGGCACUGAGAUUCUGCUGCCCAAUUUCCAACCCCAGGAUACUGGGUGGCAAUUAGACAAUUCAUUCAAUAAAGAUAUUUUCUGUACUCCUUUUAUUUAUAUGCCAGACUUUGUGGUGGGUAAUUAGGUGGGGAGGGAGUGUAUUUGAAAAUUGUCCUUGCCCUCAAUAAAGCCUAAAAUUUUCA
Molecule: long non-coding RNA, 1197 nt
Filed under: Homo sapiens (human)
Lineage: Eukaryota; Metazoa; Chordata; Mammalia; Primates; Hominidae
Source: RNAcentral